UCUCAGGAAUGUUUUACAGGGUUCCUUGUUUUUUACAAGGAUUUGAGGGAAUCUCGUUAAAAGCGAGAGCGGUCCCGCCGCUGUAACUCCGAUUCUGAGGUUUUAAAACUCGGAAUGAAUGCUUUAUCCAGAAAAGCCACUAUUCAGAUAAUCUGUUUAAACGUUUAGAAAUGGUUUAAACGGCUGUUGAUGGGAAGGCGGAUAAGGUCGGAGAAGCCAGAAAACCUGCCUGUAGAACCUGUAACCU
This 247-nucleotide non-coding RNA is filed under the name Candidatus Schekmaniibacteriota. The record is from RNAcentral.